This 802-nucleotide ribosomal RNA is filed under the name uncultured Rhizophagus. Its description in RNAcentral is "SSU rRNA". It matches the Rfam family "Eukaryotic small subunit ribosomal RNA", at positions 314 to 1114 of the family's 1831-position model. The record is from RNAcentral. Lineage: Eukaryota; Fungi; Glomeromycota; Glomeromycetes; Glomerales; Glomeraceae.
AUCAACUUUCGAUGGUAGGAUAGAGGCCUACCAUGGUGGUAACGGGUAACGGGGUGUUAGGGCACGACACCGGAGAGGGAGCCUGAGAAACGGCUACCACAUCCAAGGAUGGCAGCAGGCGCGCAAAUUACCCAAUCCCGACACGGGGAGGUAGUGACAAUAAAUAACAAUACGGGGUUCUUUAGGAUCUCGUAAUCGGAAUGAGUACAAUUUAAAUCUCCUAACGAGGAACAAUUGGAGGGCAAGUCUGGUGCCAGCAGCCGCGGUAAUUCCAGCUCCAAUAGCGUAUAUUAAAGUUGUUGCAGUUAAAAAGCUCGUAGUUGAAUUUCGGGGUUAGUAGGUUGGUCAUGCCUCCGGUAUGUACUGAUCUCACUGAUUCCUCCUUCCUUAUGAACCGUAAUGCCAUUAAUUUGGUGUUGCGGGGAAUUUGGACUGUUACUUUGAAAAAAUUAGAGUGUUUAAAGCAAGCUAACGCUUGAAUACAUUAGCAUGGAAUAAUGAAAUAGGACGUUCGAUCUUAUUUUGUUGGUUUCUAGGAUUGACGUAAUGAUUAUUAGGGAUAGUUGGGGGCAUUAGUAUUCAAUUGUCAGAGGUGAAAUUCUUGGAUUUAUUGAAGACUAACUACUGCGAAAGCAUUUGCCAAGGAUGUUUUCAUUAAUCAAGAACGAAAGUUAGGGGAUCGAAGACGAUCAGAUACCGUCGUAGUCCUAACCAUAAACCAUGCCCGACUAGGGAUCGGAUGAUGUUAAUUUUUUUAAUGACUCAUUCGGCGCCUUACGGGAAACCCAAAGUGUUUGGGUUC